RNAcentral lists this unclassified non-coding RNA (538 nucleotides) under Hevea brasiliensis (rubber tree). The record is from RNAcentral. Lineage: Eukaryota; Viridiplantae; Streptophyta; Magnoliopsida; Malpighiales; Euphorbiaceae.
AAGAAUACCCUGAAGUUCUUGGAUCAAUUCUUGGAGCUCUCAAGGCCAUUGUCAAUGUGAUUGGUAUGACAAAAAUGACACCCCCUAUCAAAGAUUUGCUUCCUAGGUUGACCCCCAUUUUGAAGAAUAGGCAUGAAAAGGUCCAGGAGAAUUGUAUUGAUCUUGUUGGUCGUAUUGCUGAUCGUGGUGCUGAGUUUGUUCCGGCUAGGGAGUGGAUGAGAAUUUGUUUUGAACUCCUGGAGAUGCUUAAGGCCCACAAGAAGGGCAUUCGACGAGCUACUGUGAACACAUUUGGUUAUAUUGCCAAAGCCAUAGGACCCCAAGAUGUCCUUGCUACCUUGCUAAACAAUCUGAAGGUCCAGGAACGCCAGAAUCGUGUGUGCACAACUGUUGCUAUCGCCAUUGUUGCAGAAACAUGUUCACCUUUUACAGUCUUGCCAGCCCUGAUGAAUGAGUAUCGUGUUCCAGAGCUUAAUGUGCAGAACGGUGUCUUGAAAUCCCUCUCUUUCCUGUUCGAGUACAUAGGGGAAAUGGGUAA